Molecule: ribosomal RNA, 314 nt
Filed under: uncultured eukaryote
Lineage: Eukaryota
Description: partial 18S ribosomal RNA
Rfam family: Eukaryotic small subunit ribosomal RNA
Source: RNAcentral
CCCUUAGAUGUUCUGGGCCGCACGCGUGCUACACUGAGUGGAUCAGCGGGUCAGGUUGCGCGAAAGCGUUUCCUAAUCUUUAAAUCCGCUCGUGAUGGGGAUUGACGGUUGCAAUUUUCUGUCAUGAACGAGGAAUACCUUGUAAGCGCGGGUCAUCAUCCCGCGCUGAAUACGUCCCUGCCCUUUGUACACACCGCCCGUCGCUCCUACCGAUUGGUGAUCCGGUGAAUGAUUCGGACUUCAGCGGCUCCCCUGGGGUGCGCCGGAGAAAGUUUUGUGAACCUUAUCACUUGGAGGAAGGAGAAGUCGUAACA